GCUCUGAAUGCAGAAAAGCGUUGUGUGGCCUAUAAGGGAGCUGGCAGGCUUGUGAGUUCGUCCGUGUCCGUGUAUGUUUCUUUGUUAUGUGUAGUGAGUUGUGUCUGGUGCAAGGGUGUGUGUGCCCACGUGUUCCGAGGCCAACCACAGAAGGGUGCCCUCCAUCCCCAGGAGGCUGUGAGUCUGCGUCCUGGGGGCUGGGGGGCAGCUAGAAGGCCACGAAGCUGUCCAGAGUCUCACUUCCUCUCAUCCUCUCUCCCCCACCCCCUUCACUGAAGAGAAGACAUCCCCUUUCCUCCGCGAGGUGCAGGUCGGCCUCAUCGACUUCAAGAAGUGCAACGACUACUUGAUCUAUGACAGUUACCUUACCCCGAGGAUGAUGUGUGCUGGGGACCUUCGAGGAGGCAGAGACUCCUGCCAGGGAGACAGCGGGGGGCCCCUGGUCUGCGAGCAGAACAACCGCUGGUACCUGGCGGGAGUCACCAGCUGGGGCACGGGCUGUGGCCAGAGAAACAAACCCGGUGUUUACACCAAAGUGACAGAAGUCCUUCCCUGGAUAUACAGCAAGAUGGAGAAUGAGGUGCGCUUCCGGAAAUCCUAAGCAGCUGUCCUACUCUUCCACUCAGCUCUGGCUGCUGGAAAGACUCUGCCAAAGUGACUGGGCCAUUGGCAACAUCAUCUGGGCUAAAGGCCACCAGACACCUUUGUUACUGCCACCUCCACUGUCUGCUGCUUCUGUGAAUAUGCACGUGUGUGUGUGCGCGCGUGCGUGCAUGUGUGUGCGUGCGUGUGUGUGCACGUGUGUGUGUGUGUGCGUGCGUGUGUGUGUGCGUGUGUGUGCUGCUGUUCUCCCAAGGUCUUAAGAAACCAGGAGAACUGUUAGCUCUUCCCAAAGCCCAGGCUGGAAAUCACCUGGAGAUAACAGUCUGGGCACCGCGGAGGUCCCUACAGGAGUGUCCGUGAUGGAUGGAGGAGGCAGAGCCCAGGGAAGGGCCUGAAGCUCACCUGGGAAUUCCUGCUCCUCUGACCUGGACUUGGAAACUAGCCCAGAAUGGGCAGCCACCUGGCAGCCCAGGUGACACCACUGCUGUCCAGGGAUGAUAGCACUUUUCGCUGGGGUGCCUGGACUAUCUCUAGCGGCAAGAUGUUCUGUGGGCAUUGCGAGCAUCCCGCUGUCUCUCAGGCCUCCCGCGGGUGCCGUGGAUGUGGAGAGCGGCCGCGCCGCGGGUGUCCGUGCUGCCAGCUGUGACCAGGCCUCACUGUUCUUGUUUGGUCACAGGCUGGUGGGGGCGGAUUUCCUUUUAUUUUAUUUUUAUAUUGAGGAAAUGGAAGUAGAUGUAUUUUUAAAGAUUCUCCAGAAUUCCAGGAGCGAGGAGAACUAGCAUCAAGUCCCCCAAGAACUCCAAGGGACUUAUGGAGGUUGCGUGGCUCGAGCGUCCUGCAGAAUGUCCUGGUCUCAAGGGACCAGAUAAAGGGGCCCCUUUGAGAUACUCAGGGAAGUGAAUCCUCACUGGGGCCGGUGGGCAAACUCAAAGAGAACCACAGCUGUUGCUGCAUCCAAGGGCUCCGAGCAGAGCAUGAAGAAGUCUGUGGGCCCCCGGAGCCUGGGAAAAUGCAGGCAGACACGCAUCCUCAUACCCAGCGCUGUCCUGGGACCUGGGAGUUUCUUCUCAGCUUCCUCCACCUUCCAAUUUCUCAGUUGUUCUAGAAACAUAGCACUGACGUGAAAACUGCCAUGGAGAGAAAGCUGCCACUGUCCCCAGGCCUUCCAAACAGGCUUUCUGAAGGAUCCGAGUUGCCCUGCUCCUGCAAGCCAUCUGUGUGCCUGGCCUCCAUGCCAGCUGAAGGCCCGGACCUCCCCCAGGGGCAUCCAUUCCUCCCUCAGUCCCAUCAUCCUCACCUUCCCUGGGCCUGUCUGAUGAUGCCAUGACUCCCAGAGGCAGGGUCCACGCAGAUGAGCCCAGCCCAGCCCAGGCAGGCAGCUACUCAGUAGGAGGAUUGCCCUGGAGGAGCAGGCUGGAGUUGGCUAGCGUGGCUGGGCAGAGUCUGAGGGGUCUGGCUACAUGUUGUCAAGGCUGGGGGUCGGGGAGGGCAACAUGCAUGUCCACAGCAGCCCCCAGCAACAGUCUUUAGCAAUUAAAGUUGCG
This 2147-nucleotide long non-coding RNA is filed under the name Equus caballus (horse). Its description in RNAcentral is "transmembrane serine protease 13 (ENSECAG00000011308.4)". The record is from RNAcentral. Lineage: Eukaryota; Metazoa; Chordata; Mammalia; Perissodactyla; Equidae.